Molecule: small RNA, 133 nt
Filed under: Vibrio tapetis subsp. tapetis
Lineage: Bacteria; Pseudomonadati; Pseudomonadota; Gammaproteobacteria; Vibrionales; Vibrionaceae
Description: rimP
Rfam family: Gammaprotebacteria rimP leader
Source: RNAcentral
UCGUCACUUAGCAAUAUCAGGGUCCAGCAGCAAAAACCCCGACUAAUUCGGGGUUUUUUGUUAUCUGUAUUUUAGAUUUUUUAAAGUACAGGGUGCGCUUGGUAAAAUCGAUAGGGCUAUGUGCCCUUUUUUU